CCUACGGUGGACAGCAGUGAGGAAUAUUGGUCAAUGGGCGCGAGCCUGAACCAGCCAAGUAGCGUGAAGGCUGACUGCCCUACGGGUUGUAAACUUCUUUUCUCAAGGAAUAAAGUGAGGCACGUGUGCCUUUUUGUAUGUACUUUAUGAAUAAGGAUCGGCUAACUCCUUGCCAGCAGCCGCGGACAUACGGAGGAUCCAAGCGUUAUCCGGAUUUAUUGGGGUUAAAGGGAGCGGAGAUGGGUUGUUCAGUCAGUGGUGAAAGUUUGCGGCUCAACCGUAAAAUUGCAAUUGAUACUGGCAGUCGUGAGUACAGUUGAGGUAGGCGGAAUUCGUGGUGUAGCGGUGAAAUGCUUAGAUAUCACGAAGAACUCCGAUUGCGAAGGCAGCUUACUAAACUGCCACUGACAGUGAUGCUCGAAAGUGUGGGUAUCAAACAGGAGUAGAGACCCGAGUAGUC
RNAcentral lists this ribosomal RNA (460 nucleotides) under uncultured bacterium. RNAcentral describes it as "partial 16S ribosomal RNA". It matches the Rfam family "Bacterial small subunit ribosomal RNA", at positions 338 to 795 of the family's 1533-position model. The record is from RNAcentral.